RNA transcript from Xiphophorus couchianus (Monterrey platyfish), 3575 nucleotides. It is a transcript of the gene named tripartite motif-containing protein 16-like, with no coding region annotated. The transcript is spliced from 3 exons. Lineage: Eukaryota; Metazoa; Chordata; Actinopteri; Cyprinodontiformes; Poeciliidae. The record is from RefSeq and is a predicted model, not a curated record.
CAGUUGAUUUUACUGAGAGCUGAAAUGGAGUAUAGACAAGUUCAAAGGGAGAAAAUCUCUUGCUUCAUCUGUUUGGAGAUAGUGAAGGAUCCGGUGACUAUUCCCUGUGGACACAGCUACUGUAUGACCUGCAUUAACGACCAAUGGGAUGGAGAAGUUCAGAGGAGAAACCACAGCUGCCCUCAAUGCAGAGAGAAAUUUAGAAAAAGACCUGUCUUGAAGAAAAGCACAAUGUUAGCAGAUUUAGUGGAUGAUCUGAAGAAGAAUGAACUCCAAGCUGCUCCAGCUAAUCACUGCUAUGCUGAACCUGAAGAUGUGGCCUGUGAUGUCUGCACUGGGAGGAAGAGGAAAGCUGUCAAGUCCUGCUUAUCCUGUCCAGCUUCCUACUGUGAGACUCACCUCCAACCUCACUAUGAUGCUCCACCAUUAAAAAAGCACAAGCUGGUGAAUCCCUCCAAGAAUCUCCAGGAGAACAUUUGCUCUCGUCAUGAUGAGGUGAUGAAGAUCUUCUGUCGUACUGAUCAGCAGUGUAUCUGUUAUCUCUGCUUAAUGGAUGAACAUAAAGGCCAUGAAACAGUCCCAGCUGCAGCAGAAACAGCAGAGAAGCAGAAGGAGCUUCAGGAGAGUCGACAACAAAUCCAUCAGAGAAUCCAGGACCAAGAGAAAGAUGUGAAGCUGCUUCAACAGGAGGUGGAGGCCAUCAAUGUCUCUGCUGAUAAAGCAGUGGAGGACAGUGAGAAGAUCUUCACUGAGAUGAUCCGUCUCCUCCAGGAAAGAAGCUCUGAUGUGAAGCAGCAGAUCAGAUCCCAGCAGGAAACUGAAGUGAGUCGAGUCAAAGAUGUUCAGGAGAAGCUGGAGCAGGAGAUCACUGAGCUGAAGAGGAAAGACGCUGAGCUGGAGCAGCUCUCACACACAGAGGAUCACAACCAGUUUCUCCUCAACUACCCCUCACUGCCAGCACUCAGUGAGUCUACACACUCAUCCAGCAUCAACAUCCGUCCUCUGAGACACUUUGAGGACGUGACAGCAGCUGUGUCAGAGCUCAGAGACAAACUACAGGACAUCCUGAGAGACACAUGGACAAACAUCUCACUGACAAUCACUGCAGUGGAUGUUCUACUGGUAGAACCAGAGCCAGAACCAAACAGCAGAGAUGGAUUCUUAAAAUAUUCACAAAAAAUCACUCUGGAUCCAAAUUCAGCAUACAGAAAGCUGUUAUUAUCUGAGGGGAGCAGAAAAGUGUCUUUUCUGAUAGAAGGCGAAGAAGAGACAGAAGAGGAAGAAGAGUCGGAAGAGGAAGAAGAACUUUAUCCUGGUCAUCCAGACAGAUUUAGUGAUAUCCCUCAGGUCCUGAGUAGAGAGAGUCUGACUAAACGUUAUUACUGGGAGGUGGAGCGGACAGGAAAAGUUCUUGUAGCAGUUUCAUACAAGAAUAUCAGCAGAGCAGGAGGGUCAGAUGAAUGUUUAUUUGGAUUCAAUGACAAAUCUUGGUCAUUAAAUUGUACCACAGGCAGUUACACAUUUCAUCACAACAAAGUUAAAACUCCAGUACCAGGUCCAGUUUCCUCCAGAAUAGGAGUGUACCUGGACCACAGAGCAGGUAUUUUGUCUUUCUACAGCGUCUCUGAAACCAUGACUCUCCUCCACAGAGUCCAGACCAGAUUCACUCAGCCUCUAAAUGCUGGAGUUGGGAUUUACUAUUAUGGAGCCUCUGCUGAGUUCAUUAACCUGGAUAGUCAGCAGUGAUCUGAGGUCCAAUUGGUUAAAAACAGUGUUUUAGUUUCAGUUUCUGUAGUUUCUAUCAUUGUUGCUGAGAGCUUCUCUGCUCAGAGAUCAGCUGUCUCUAUGGAGAUACGUUAUCAUCUUGUUUGUUGUUUUGUUGAUGUUGGAGUUUGUCUGGGUGCUGCCCCUUCCUGUUUCUGUUCAGCCAUGGAGACAGACACUGCUCAGGAGGAUUUUGUCCACCUAAACUAAUUAUAUUCAUAUUUGUUUUGUCAAAUCAAAUGUUGCAUAUUCAGGUCUGCAGAUAGAAACUAAUUAUCCUCAUCAAUCAAGAGAAUUUUACAGCACAGAUCAGAUUCUGGGUCAAACUGGUUGUUGAAAUGAAAAAGCAGAUAUGUGGACAAAAAUAUAAUUUUAAAGUUUUUGUGGUUUAUAUUUUAUUUUGUGUUGGCAAGUAAUAAUAUUCUUAAAGUGAAUUGUUGUAUGCAAUGGUGUUUGGCUGCAAAUGUUGAUGUAAUUAGGAACUUAAGAUCUCUAGAAAUUAUUUAAAUCUGUUCUGCUUUGGCUGAAAUGGAAUUAUUCUCUUUAUUAUAUUUUUAUGAUUAUAUAUUACAUUUAUAUAUAUAUAUAUAGCUGCAUUUGUUUUGUUUGUUUUUUUAUUCUGCUUUUAUCUUAAAAACACAGCAGGAUUUUUGUGUCGACCUCUAUUAUCGCCUCAUCAUCACCGUGAACAUGAUUGUUUCCUCAGGUCUAGAAACCAGUAAUAUCUUUAAUAGUUCCACUUUUUCAUGUUUUUCUGUUUGUUUCUUUUUUUUCCUUCGUUUUGGUUUUGCUGUUUGCUGGUUUUUCUUUUCUUACUGUUUUUAUCUCUUGGUGGGAGAUGUCUGUGUUUGUGGGGCUAGUGUUGACCUUUGACCUAAAUAUGGAUUCUGAUAUUGUUGAAAAGGAAACGUGUUUGAGAUUUGUACUCCAGUUGACAUAAAUCUACACAUUUGUGAUGCAAAUGUUACCUGGAAUAUUUUAGAUAACACUUUGAACUGCAAGGGUUUACAGAACAACGCGUGUUUGUAGAUUUAACAUGUAAGAUUAUAAUUACGUGAUUUUAAUAAUGGGUUACUUUGAAUAGGCCGGUCUGAGCCACUCCGGCCACUACUGACCGUUUAUGAUAAAAGUAUCAGCCUGAAGGUUUUUAACUAUUUCUUCUGGCCGUGCUACAGGACAGAUAUCGACGGACAACUAAACAAGCUCAUCAAAUUUAAAGUAAGAUUACAUUUUUUUAAUAAAGGAUGCAAUUUUAAUAGGUUCCUAAGAGUUACAUUUUCUAAACUGACAUUAAAAUAUGUGUUUUAUACCUCUGAUGGUUUUUCUGAUUGAAAGGAUUUGUUUAUGCUUCGUAGAAGGUUUUGUCUGGAGUUUUUAGUGAGUUAGCAGUUAAUAAGCAGCACAGGUGAUAUUUUAUUUGAACUAUUUUGAAUGCCUGUCUGGACUUGAGAGCUGCUGGGCUGCACAUUUCAAAUUCAGUUUCCCUCAAGUCUUUGGUGUGUAAUUUACUGUGUGAAUGUUGUUUAUUCUCACAGUUUCAUGUUUAUAUCUAGGCAAUUAUUUUUAUAACCGUAUUUAGAAGAACAGAGUAACACACUUCAAGCACUAAUCUGGUACUAAAAUUCAGAAAACGUUAAUUUCUAAGUUUAAAGAAUAAAUAUCUCUAAUGAGCUGACUGGUUGUUUAUGGUGCUGUUAAGUAAACCAGAUAUUGUCACCAGGAAUAAGGAUUAGGGUGAUGGCAUUGAGGCCUUCCAACCUCAAUCAGGACUUGGAGCUGAUCACCAGAUUUUAUUCCACCAAAAUACCAGA